GUGCUCGGUUGGGCAACACAUAUAUUAAAAUUGGAAAGAUACAGAGAUUAGCAUGGCCCCUGCACAAGGAUGAAAC
RNAcentral lists this small nuclear RNA (76 nucleotides) under Chlorocebus sabaeus (green monkey). Lineage: Eukaryota; Metazoa; Chordata; Mammalia; Primates; Cercopithecidae. The record is from RNAcentral.